RNAcentral lists this ribosomal RNA (43 nucleotides) under basidiomycete sp. Pa. RNAcentral's name for it is "28S ribosomal RNA". The record is from RNAcentral. Lineage: Eukaryota; Fungi; Basidiomycota.
CAAAUCAGGUAGGAUUACCCGCUGAACUUAAGCAUAUCAAUAA